This 104-nucleotide ribosomal RNA is filed under the name Castor canadensis (American beaver). Lineage: Eukaryota; Metazoa; Chordata; Mammalia; Rodentia; Castoridae. The record is from RNAcentral.
UCCUUCAAGCCAAUAGCCCUGAACACACCAAUCUCAUCUGAUCUGGGAAGCUAAGCAGGGUCAGACCUGGUGAGUAUUUGGACAGAAGAAACUCUUUCAAGGUC